CAGCCGCCGCGGUAAUACGUAGGGCGCAAGCGUUAUCCGGAAUUAUUGGGCGUAAAGAGCUCGUAGGCGGUUUGUCGCGUCUGCCGUGAAAGUCCGGGGCUCAACCCCGGAUCUGCGGUGGGUACGGGCAGACUAGAGUGAUGUAGGGGAGACUGGAAUUCCUGGUGUAGCGGUGAAAUGCGCAGAUAUCAGGAGGAACACCGAUGGCGAAGGCAGGUCUCUGGGCAUUAACUGACGCUGAGGAGCGAAAGCAUGGGGAGCGAACAGGAUUAGAUACCCCAGUAGUCCCUGUCUCUUAUAC
This 301-nucleotide ribosomal RNA is filed under the name uncultured bacterium. RNAcentral describes it as "partial 16S ribosomal RNA". It matches the Rfam family "Bacterial small subunit ribosomal RNA", at positions 509 to 807 of the family's 1533-position model. The record is from RNAcentral.